AUCUUCUCUUUUCAAAUUACUUUCUCUCCCAUCUUCAAUAUGUUCAACCGUAUUAUACGCCCAUUAUCUAUCAUCAUUAUUAGCACGAUUCCAUCUUCCUUAAUCGUUACCCACACAGUAUAGGUAACGAAUUUUGAUAAUUUAUUAGAAUAUUUUUACUUUCUUUGUUGUAUUUCUCUAUAUUUAUUCUUAUAUUUUCAUCGUUUUCUUUGUUUCUUUUCAUUCCUUUUUUUUUUUUUUUUGUUUUCAGUCAUUGUUAGAGUUUUUAAAACAAGAUCUACUUCUCCAUUUUAAUGGCGGAAAGAGAUACUCCAAGCGAGAAUACUCGAGGUAGUCCCGAUGUUUAUGAUGGUCCUAGUUUCUCUUUGGGAUUUUCACAACAACAACUUGCAAUUGCGGGAGAAUGCUGCUAAAAUUGCUGCCGAGAGAAGAAGCAAGAAGAUUCAUGACCCAUCAAGGACGCGUCAACUUCAACCAACUGAAGUUGCAAAACCGAGCAAGCGAAAAGAUGAUGUACCAAAAAAGGUUCUAAAGUUGCUCAACAAAAUAAGAGAAAAGUAACCAAGCCUUUUUCCGAUGUUAAGGGUAAAAAGGUUGUAAAAGAUGUAGAUCUGGAAGAGGAUGAACAGGAAACUAAAUUCUAUGUUAAGAGUCAUCUGAAGAGGCUCCAUCGAUGACACGGUACACGAAUAUUGAGGUGUUCAAAGAUCUCAAGAGUAAGCUAACUGUUCCACAGUUAGAGAUCUUUUCCAAGACAAUAUUUGGGAAAUUCCUCGGAAUGCAGCACCUGGAGGUUCAAGCACAAAUUUUUAGGUGCUUCAUGGUAAGAGAGCUCAAGGAGAGCACUUCUGAUUGCUUUACAAUUGAUAUAAAUGGUACCGUAUUGCGAUUUACCAUGAGAGAAUUUGCCCUUAUGAGCGGGCUAAAUUGUGUAGCCGAUGAAGGUCAAUUUACAUACGAUGAGGAAAAACCGAAUAGGAUUAUGGUUGAUUAUUUUGGUGGAACUAGGAGUAAAGUAAAAAGAUUGGAGUUGAUUGAUUGCUUUAAGAAUAAGUGUUGGGGAGAUAAUGAUGAGGACGCUGUUAAGUUUGCAAUUCUGUUUUUUAUAAAUACAUAUAUCUUUUGC
This is a long non-coding RNA of Lycium ferocissimum, 1126 nucleotides long. RefSeq lists it as uncharacterized. NCBI's taxonomy places the organism in Eukaryota, Viridiplantae, Streptophyta, Magnoliopsida, Solanales, Solanaceae. The transcript has 2 exons. The record is from RefSeq and is a predicted model, not a curated record.